Molecule: ribosomal RNA, 496 nt
Filed under: uncultured bacterium
Lineage: Bacteria
Description: bacterial SSU rRNA
Rfam family: Bacterial small subunit ribosomal RNA
Source: RNAcentral
AUGAACGCUAGCGACAGGCCUAACACAUGCAAGUCGAGGGGCAGCACAAGGAGCAAUCUGAGGUGGCGACCGGCGCACGGGUGAGUAACACGUAUGCAACCUGCCUGUAAGCGGGGAAUAACCCGUUGAAAGACGGACUAAUACCGCAUAAUACUAAAUUACUGCAUGGUAAUUUAUUUAAACAUUUAUGGCUUACAGAUGGGCAUGCGCAUGAUUAGCUAGUUGGAGAGGUAACGGCUCCCCAAGGCAACGAUCAUUAGGGGUUCUGAGAGGAAGGUCCCCCACACUGGUACUGAGACACGGACCAGACUCCUACGGGAGGCAGCAGUGAGGAAUAUUGGUCAAUGGACGAGAGUCUGAACCAGCCAAGUCGCGUGCAGGAAGAAUGUCCUAAUGGAUUGUAAACUGCUUUUGCAGGGGGAAUAAAGUGCAUCACGUGUGAUGUUUUGUAUGUACUCUGCGAAUAAGGAUCGGCUAACUCCGUGCCAGCCGCUGC